Molecule: ribosomal RNA, 492 nt
Filed under: uncultured bacterium
Lineage: Bacteria
Description: partial 16S ribosomal RNA
Rfam family: Bacterial small subunit ribosomal RNA
Source: RNAcentral
AGUGAACGCUGGCGGUAGGCCUAACACAUGCAAGUCGAACGGCAGCACAGUAAGAGCUUGCUCUUACGGGUGGCGAGUGGCGGACGGGUGAGGAAUACAUCGGAAUCUACUUUUUCGUGGGGGAUAACGUAGGGAAACGUACGCUAAUACCGCAUACGACCUACGGGUGAAAGCAGGGGAACUUCGGACCUUGCGCGAUUGAAUGAGCCGAUGUCGGAUUAGCUAGUUGGCGGGGUAAAGGCCCACCAAGGCGACGAUCCGUAGCUGGUCUGAGUGGAUGAUCGGCCACACUGGAACUGAGACACGGUCCAGACUCCUACGGGAGGCAGCAGUGUGGAAUAUUGGACAAUGGGCGCAAGCCUGAUCCAGCCAUACCGCGUGGGUGAAGAAGGCCUUCGGGUUGUAAAGCCCUUUUGUUGGGAAAGAAAAGCAGCAGGUUAAUACCCCGCUGUUCUGACGGUACCCAAUGAAUAAGCACCGGCUAACUUCGUG